ACUAGUUACCACUUAAAUCUCUUUUGAUACAGAAAUCAGAAUAAACCAAGUUUUAAUCAGGUCUGAAAAUGUUCAAGUUCAAAAGUCAAUAAUACCAAUUUGGAGAUUUUACACAAAGAAGUGUCCCUGCCCAAUUCUUCCUCAGAGGAAGAGAAGGGUGGGUUCAAAAACAGAGCAAUUCAAGGCCUUUAAAUCAGUUGGCUGACAUACUGUUUUAAACCUAUAGGUCUUUUCCCCCACAUAAACAAAAUUCUUUUCCAUAUGAACUUAUAUUUUGAAAACAUUUAGGCCAUUAUACUUUCUAAGCUGCAUUACUACAGUUCCUAAAACUCAGGAGAAAAAAAGAUGUAUAGUUCACUUGCACUUUUUAAAGUCAGGACUUUUUUUUUUUUUUCUUUUUCUCUUUUUGGUUUUUCUUUCUUGGAAGAUGGCUGAUCUCAAAUCUUAUAUCCUAAAUAGUAACUGAUAUUCUCCAAGUUAAUAUACAGAAAGACAUGAUUCUAAAAUAAAUACAAUUCAGGGUUGUGCACAUGUUCUGCAAAAUUAACUGACACCACAGAUGUCUAACUCAGCACAAGAAAAAGCGCUCUCUCCCUUCAGGUGUCCGGGAGAUGCACUAGCUGCAAAAGGAUGCAGAGCGCAGACUUCAGAUCUCUGACUUAAUACAGCAAAGGUGCCAUGUCUGCCAAACGUCUAUAACCUAACAACCUUUCACUUCAGCUAUAAGAAACAAUUUUUGCAAAAGUGGCGUAAGAUACUUAGGCACAUGAAACAGACAUAAGUACACUCCCCUCUCUAAGAUGUAAACUAGGACCAACUUCACAUUUCAUUGUCAACUUAAACUAAUCUGUAAACUCUUAUGUGUGUGGUUUUUUUUGUUUGUUUGUUCUUUUAUUAAAAAACAAAAACAAAAACAAAACAAAAACAAACACCAAAAACCCCAAGCCAAGACAAAACCUUUGAUGGUUUCAGUUCUAUGGCAACAAGUAAAAAGAUAAAACUCCAAGUCUACUUAUACAACCAAUUAUGAAACUGGUUUUAAACGAAGGAAACAUAUGCAAAAAAAUCUUUUGUGUAUUUGAUAAAGUCAACUUAAUAUAACAAAAACAAAUUGAAAUAGCUUAUUAAAAGUGUCCUUAUAUAAAAAUGGCCUUGUGAUGUACAGUAAAAUGC
RNAcentral lists this long non-coding RNA (1173 nucleotides) under Sus scrofa (pig). RNAcentral's name for it is "lncRNA (ENSSSCG00065031498.1)". Lineage: Eukaryota; Metazoa; Chordata; Mammalia; Artiodactyla; Suidae. The record is from RNAcentral.